GACGAACGCUGGCGGCGUGCUUAACACAUGCGAGUCGAACGGAAAGGCCCUGCUUUUGUGGGGUGCUCGAGUGGCGAACGGGUGAGUAACACGUGAGUAACCUGCCCUUGACUUUGGGAUAACUUCAGGAAACUGGGGCUAAUACCGGAUAGGAGCUCCUGCUGCAUGGGGGGGGUUGGAAAGUUUCGGCGGUUGGGGAUGGACUCGCGGCUUAUCAGCUUGUUGGUGGGGUAGUGGCUUACCAAGGCUUUGACGGGUAGCCGGCCUGAGAGGGUGACCGGCCACAUUGGGACUGAGAUACGGCCCGGACUCCUACGGGAGGCAGCAGUGGGGAAUACUGCACAAUGGGCGGAAGCCUGAUGCAGCAACGCCGCGUGCGGGAUGACGGCCUUCGGGUUGUAAACCGCUUUCGCCUGUGACGAAGCGUGAGUGACGGUAAUGGGUAAAGAAGCACCGGCUAACUACGUG
Molecule: ribosomal RNA, 468 nt
Filed under: uncultured bacterium
Lineage: Bacteria
Description: partial 16S ribosomal RNA
Rfam family: Bacterial small subunit ribosomal RNA
Source: RNAcentral